This is a long non-coding RNA of Cyprinus carpio carpio, 1479 nucleotides long. The record is from Ensembl. NCBI's taxonomy places the organism in Eukaryota, Metazoa, Chordata, Actinopteri, Cypriniformes, Cyprinidae.
CUAUGGGAGGAGCACAGUGAUAGUGAACAGGUGAUUUUGCGUGAUAACUGUUACUAUAUAGUGUAAUUUAGCACGUCUGAACUCUGUACUGACCAAUCAGCACUCAGGACCUGAACGCUCUGUUUUCUAAUUUAGUUUCCGGUGCACUGCCUCUCUUUCUAUCUAUCUCUCUCUCUCUCUCUCUGUCUUUUGUCGGAUCGAGGUAGCGGAGGGGUCUUGGUGGCAGAUGGGCAGGAGUAUCAGGGAUUGACUAAUCCCAAAUCUGCCGUCUCCUCACCACACCGAAACCAGGGGAGAGGCACGAGCCAGCUGCCACAUAGACGCCUUUCAUGCUCGUCUGCACACAACAGCUGCAGCAGGCCUGCCUGCUUGCUUCUAAAUUAUUAAACAUCUUUUUAGUUUGUUCCAGAUGCAGAGCCCGAUGUGCUUAUGGAGGCCUUUGUGCAUUUUACAUACCGUUCCUUUUCCCCUCCUCUCAUCAGAAUGCUGUUUGUAAAAGUCAUUAUCCCAUCUGUGCCGCCAGUUUGGACAAAACAGCCCAAGACUGAUCCAGCCCGCUUCUGUUUUCCGGGAUAGUUUAGGAGUUGAGGAUGAAGAUGAUGAUUGGGGGUGCGGUCCACCUGUAAGCCGUCUCGGCCGCUGCUUCGGGGCGGCAACAGGAGUUUUGCAAAAUAGAAGAAUAGAAAAGAAAACAGCCCAGUGUGUGCAGGUGAGGAACACAAAGGCAGUGCAAAUGUUUGAGUGAUUUGGCAUGAGUUUGUUGCAGCCAGGCUGCUGGAUUGAAGUUAAUAAGCAUGCGAAAGGCCCAACGAGAGAAGCGCGACUCUCAGCGUCUCCCCCCGUCCAGGCUGGAUCUCCAGAUGAGUCCUCCAUGGCCCACACACACCAGAGACGAGUCUGGAUCCUCCACUGGAGCCGCUGCACCUGUUGUUUUCAGGAGUUGGGGAAAGAUAGACACUCGUGCUCAGAGACUGUAUGGAAGGAUGAGAACAGGCAAUGUGUUUUGUCGCUAAAGCCAAAAAAGAUACUGACCUUUAAAUCUGCUGUUGAUAAAUGCACUUUCCCUCUCAAAAAGAAAAAAAGUCAUGCUGGCAUCUCCUCUACCCUGGAUCUUUGAAUAUUCAUCAGGCUCUUGAGAGGUGCUGAACCAUCCAAUCACAUCUGGAUGAAGGGAAGCCCUCGGCUUUGGACUGCCUUAACGCUCUGAGCUUGAACCGGAGCUGACGGGUUAAUCAAUGCUGUGAUCAAUUGGCAACGUACAAAUUGUUUUAUUCGAAUGGAAAAUGCAAACUGUUGUUUCUCAAGUCUUGAUUAAUUGCAUCGUUCCUGACCCACAUAUCGAAUGCUGCUCGGGAAAGCCCAAAGCUCUGAGCAGACCGUACUGGUACAAAUUUUAUAAUAAGGUUAUGUUACAGUAUACUGUAAAUUAACCAAGACAUAAUGCUCAGAAGGGCUUUUAUUGGAAAUUAAUAACUGAGA